Molecule: ribosomal RNA, 465 nt
Filed under: uncultured bacterium
Lineage: Bacteria
Description: partial 16S ribosomal RNA
Rfam family: Bacterial small subunit ribosomal RNA
Source: RNAcentral
CCUACGGGCAGCUGCAGUGGGGAAUUUUGCGCAAUGCUCGUAAGAGUGACGCAGCGACGCCGCGUGAAUGACGAAGGCCUUCGGGUCGUAAAGUUCUUUCGACAGGGAAGAAAAUGCCUAUAAGUAACUGUGUAUGUAUUGACGGUACCUGUAUAAGCAGCCCCGGCUAACUCCGUGCCAGCAGCCGCGGUAAUACGGAGGGGGCGAGCGUUGUUCGGAGGGACUGGGCGUAAAGAGCACGUAGGCGGUGUUGUAAGUCAUUAGUCAAAGACUAGAGCUCAACUUUAGUAAGGCUAGUGAUACUAUAAUACUAGAGUAUCAGAGAGGAUUGCAGAAUUCCUGGUGUAGCGGUGAAAUGCGUAGAUAUCAGGAGGAAUACCGUUAGCGAAGGCGGCAAUCUGGCUGGAAACUGACGCUGAGGUGCGAAAGCGUGGGUAGCAAACAGGAUUAGAUACCCCGGUAGUC